Molecule: long non-coding RNA, 1258 nt
Organism: Neofelis nebulosa (Clouded leopard)
Lineage: Eukaryota; Metazoa; Chordata; Mammalia; Carnivora; Felidae
Exons: 2
Source: RefSeq, a predicted model, not a curated record
GGUCGCGGAUCCCGCGUCCCGACCGGUUGCUCAGCCUGAAUUUGGAAGUGAAACACCGGGCCGGGCCGCCUGCGAUCCCUCCUCCCGAAGGCUGUGAACUCUUAGGAUGGGCGCCCAGUUCCGCAAUUCAACAAGUCUUUAGGAGUAUUUUACUACAUACAGCGGUAACGUUUAACUGCUAUGACCAUACCAGUGGAAAAAGUACACACACUGAGACGAUGUUCGGUGAGAUCCAUUGUCUAGAAUUACUUUCUCAUUUUUAUCUGCGCAAGUAAUUCUAUAGAAUUAAAUAUAGCCGAUGGUGGUGAUUAACUCGGCCAGUCAGAAUUCGAACAAAUUAAACUAAAAAAGGUAUUUCAUCAAAGCAGUGUUUCUCAUGUAAACUCAGAGUGUAAAUAGCGUUUCCAGGCACUGACCCCCAAUUUUAAUCCUCAUAAAAAGUAUUAAAGAAUAUACAGUUGAUUCGAUUAGAGUCAUACAUUUAAAAUCAGAUGACUGAUUAAUCAAUAUUUGAGCAAUUUUUCAUGGAUGUUUCCUUUUUGUAUAUUCCCUGUGGAGGGGGAUUGGUUUUGUUUUUUUUUUCUCAAUAAGGCACUCUGUUAAAACUGGUUUAGAGAUAUUUGCACCAUUAGAACCUCUAAAGGAUAAAAACUCUUCUAUGUUUGUAUUUCUUUAUUCAGAUACAAAAAUAAUUGAAACAUUUUCUAUAAUUUAGAUAUCUUAAUCCAAAUUUGGAAUUAAGAUUUUUAAAUCCCUGCUAAUAUUUUAGGUAAACACCCAUGUCAUUAAAGGAAAUGUAAAAUUUGCAACAAUGCAGUAAACUGUGUUUCCUAUCAAAUUUAAGUGUACUGAAGAAUUACUGCGUGACUAGCAUUUAAAAAUAUUAGUUGAAUUUAACAGAUUGCUCAGAAUUUUUAUUUUCUUCUCCCAAAAAACAGAAAUUGUUCCACUUGUCUCACCAAACAUAUGAGAUGAAUAACUUCUCUGCAAUAGAGACAAAUGCUACCAUUAAACCAAUAAGAAAUACAAGCAUCAAAAUACCUGAUGAGUUGGUGAGAUAAGUGCUUUUGUAAAAAUGAUUUUUCAAAAUGGGCCUUGGGCAAUAUGUUUCAUAAAAAACAUUUGGUUAUCUUUUUACACCUUCUUCUAGAGCCAGCCAUUUGGGUUUGACAUGAAUUAAUCCAUUUUAAUGCAAAAGACUGCAUUAAACAGAAAAAAAAAAAAAGCUGCAAAAGACAAAUGGUUCCAAAUUUCAGGC